Megalobrama amblycephala (Wuchang bream) is the source of this 535-nucleotide long non-coding RNA. RefSeq lists it as uncharacterized. Lineage: Eukaryota; Metazoa; Chordata; Actinopteri; Cypriniformes; Xenocyprididae. The record is from RefSeq and is a predicted model, not a curated record. The transcript is spliced from 3 exons.
AAAAACAUCCUGUUUGAUCUAAUUGUGCCAUUUGUGCCAGACACGUGAACAAUAGAACACAGCAGAGAUUCUUCCAACCCACCAAUGGAAGGAUAUGUGCACCAACAGGCGCAAACAUAACACUUGCAGCUGAAGGAAAACUAACAGUCAACCUUGAGUGGAUGAAAAACUUCAGAAGUAAUCCAAGACUUGCAGCAAAACCCAGAGAAAUGGAUGACUUCUCAUGUCCACACCCUGAGACCAGCACAUCAGACCAAGAUGCAUUUAGACAUCUAGACUCCCUGGAAGGGUGGACUGAGUGAAAACCACAGCAAUGGCACAAAAAUGAUGGAAGAAUCUGUGGUGUUUUUGUUUGCACAAGAUGGAAGCAAAAGGGCUCAGCAUGUCUUCUGAGUUGCUCCACACAGAAUAGUUGCUCUACCUUCGGAUGUACCAUGCCUCCUGUUUGGUUAAAAAUAUACAAACUAAGGUAAAGCAGUGUCAAGCUCUAAAUUAAAUAAUGGUGGUGUUUUCUCUAAUCUGGAUGUAUAUAUGA